UACAGAGGGUGCGAGCGUUGUCCGGAAUCACUGGGCGUAAAGGGCGCGUAGGUGGCUUGGUAAGCGUGUGGUGAAAGUCCGGAGCUCAACCCCGGAUCUGCCGUGCGAACUGCCGAGCUCGAGCAUUGUAGAGGCAGGUGGAAUUCCGGGUGUAGCGGUGGAAUGCGUAGAGAUCCGGAAGAACACCAGUGGCGAAGGCGGCCUGCUGGGCAAUAGCUGACACUGAGGCGCGACAGCGUGGGGAGCAAACAGGAUUAGAAACCCCAGUAGU
Molecule: ribosomal RNA, 271 nt
Filed under: uncultured bacterium
Lineage: Bacteria
Description: partial 16S ribosomal RNA
Rfam family: Bacterial small subunit ribosomal RNA
Source: RNAcentral